AUGUGCUAUAUUUCCGAAUGUGAAACCUAUGUCGCAAGUGAUACGAAAAGAAUGUCAAAUGUGCUAUUUCUGAAUAGAGAAAGGAAUGGUAUAGCAUGCAUGUAUGCACUCAGAUUUUUAUCCAAACUUUUCCAUGUCAAUAUGCAGAUCCUUGCCAAGGGUGACGCACCUGGUCCCUGCUCAACCAUCCAUUCACCCACUGCUUCGGGAGAUAGAUGGAUGGACCCUGAAAUAGACACUGUAACAGCGCCCUCAAGGAAAAGAUGGCACAACGUAGUACCGGGUGAGUGCAACACAUCACUGGAUCUGAAUCAGGGUGCUAGUGGCCAUGAGCUCACUGCGUUUCGGUUUGUUCCCCACUUGAGGUGGGAUGGUGAGGCUCCUUUCGGGUCCAAGUCGGCAAUGGGUCGAUCGGUCGACUGUGUGCGAGGUGCAAGCGCGUCAUUGGCGCCUCGGUGGAUCCAUUGGCCUGGUGAUUCAGCUUGGAUGAGGGGCAAUGCAGCAGUGGGUUCAGUCAGCAAAUGGUUUCUGUUUGUGGGUGAAACUGUGUGA
RNAcentral lists this ribosomal RNA (552 nucleotides) under Triticum aestivum (bread wheat). Its description in RNAcentral is "partial small subunit ribosomal RNA". Lineage: Eukaryota; Viridiplantae; Streptophyta; Magnoliopsida; Poales; Poaceae. The record is from RNAcentral.